RNAcentral lists this unclassified non-coding RNA (390 nucleotides) under soil metagenome. RNAcentral's name for it is "partial contains 5.8S ribosomal RNA, internal transcribed spacer 2, and large subunit ribosomal RNA". The stretch from base 1 to 121 matches the Rfam family "5.8S ribosomal RNA", at positions 35 to 154 of the family's 154-position model. The record is from RNAcentral.
GAUGAAAACGUAGCGAAAUGCGAUACUUGGUGUGAAUUGCAGAAUCCCGUGAACCAUCGAGUCUUUGAACGCAAGUUGCGCCCGAAGCCAUUAGGCCGAGGGCACGCCUGCCUGGGCGUCACACGUCGUUGCCCCCCCAUCUACUCCUUCGGGAUUGCGGGGGGCGGAUGAUGGCCUCCCGUGCGCCUCGUCGCGCGGUUGGCAUAAAUGCCAAGUCCUCGGCGACGCACGCCACGACAAUCGGUGGUUGCGAAACCUCGGUUGCCCGUCGUGUGCGGUCGUCGCGCAUCGAGGGCUCGAAAAAAUUGCCGGGCUCCGGCUCGGCUUUCAACGCGACCCCAGGUCAGGCGGGGUUACCCGCUGAAUUUAAGCAUAUCAAUAAGCGGAGGA